RNAcentral lists this unclassified non-coding RNA (250 nucleotides) under plant metagenome. RNAcentral's name for it is "partial contains small subunit ribosomal RNA, internal transcribed spacer 1, and 5.8S ribosomal RNA". The stretch from base 208 to 250 matches the Rfam family "5.8S ribosomal RNA", at positions 1 to 43 of the family's 154-position model. The record is from RNAcentral.
GUAGGUGAACCUGCGGAAGGAUCAUUAUUGAAUCCUUAGGAUGUCGCUGGCCUUUGGUAACAAAGGCAUGUGCACUCCGCCUUUCAAUCCACCUGUGCACUUAUUGUAGGUUGUAAAGGGGAAACUCUUUCGAUCUGCGUAUUUUUACACACUUAAAUGUAUCAGAAUGUAACUUAGUAGACCUUUAAUGGUCGAAAACCUAAAUACAACUUUCAACAACGGAUCUCUUGGUUCUCGCAUCGAUGAAGAA